CCUACGGUCGCAGCAUUGGGGCAUAUUGGACAAUGGGCGAAAGCCUGAUCCAGCCAUGCCGCGUGUGUGAAGAAGGCCUUCGGGUUGUAAAGCACUUUCAGUGGGGAAGAAAGCCUUGGGGCUAAUACCCUCGAGGAAGGACAUCACCCACAGAAGAAGCACCGGCUAACUCCGUGCCAGCAGCCGCGGUAAUACGGAGGGUGCGAGCGUUAAUCGGAAUUACUGGGCGUAAAGCGCGCGUAGGCGGUCUGAUAAGCCGGUUGUGAAAGCCCCGGGCUCAACCUGGGAACGGCAUCCGGAACUGUCAGGCUAGAGUGAAGGAGAGGAAGGUAGAAUUCCCGGUGUAGCGGUGAAAUGCGUAGAGAUCGGGAGGAAUACCAGUGGCGAAGGCGGCCUUCUGGACUGACACUGACGCUGAGGUGCGAAAGCGUGGGUAGCAAACAGGAUUAGAUACCCCGGUAGUC
This 464-nucleotide ribosomal RNA is filed under the name Vreelandella stevensii. RNAcentral's name for it is "partial 16S ribosomal RNA". It matches the Rfam family "Bacterial small subunit ribosomal RNA", at positions 338 to 795 of the family's 1533-position model. The record is from RNAcentral. Lineage: Bacteria; Pseudomonadati; Pseudomonadota; Gammaproteobacteria; Oceanospirillales; Halomonadaceae.